Molecule: ribosomal RNA, 410 nt
Filed under: uncultured bacterium
Lineage: Bacteria
Description: bacterial SSU rRNA
Rfam family: Bacterial small subunit ribosomal RNA
Source: RNAcentral
GGAAUCUUGCGCAAUGGGCGAAAGCCUGACGCAGCGACGCCGCGGGAGGGAUGAAGCUUCUCGGAGUGUAAACCUCUUUCGACCCGGACGAAUACCCGCCAGGGUUUGACGGUACGGGGAGAAGCAGCCCCGGGUAACUACGUGCCCGCAGCCGCGGUAAAACGUAGGGGGCCAGCGUUGCUCGGAAUUACUGGGCGUAAAGGGUCUGUAGGCGGUGCGGUAAGUCCGGAGUGAGAUCUCCAGGCUCAACUUGGAGGCUGCUUCGGAAACUGCUGUGCUCGAGUGUGGGAGAGGCGCGUGGAAUUGCAGGUGUAGCGGUGAAAUGCGUAGAUAUCUGCAGGAACACCAGUGGCGAAAGCGGCGCGCUGGACCACAACUGACGCUGAGAGACGAAAGCUAGGGGAGCAAAC